RNAcentral lists this signal recognition particle RNA (299 nucleotides) under Saimiri boliviensis boliviensis (Bolivian squirrel monkey). RNAcentral's name for it is "Metazoan signal recognition particle RNA (ENSSBOG00000003882.1)". It matches the Rfam family "Metazoan signal recognition particle RNA". Rfam says of the family: The signal recognition particle (SRP) is a universally conserved ribonucleoprotein. It is involved in the co-translational targeting of proteins to membranes. Lineage: Eukaryota; Metazoa; Chordata; Mammalia; Primates; Cebidae. The record is from RNAcentral.
GCCCAGCGCAGUGGCAUGUGCCUGUAGUCCCAACUACUCGGGAGGCUGAGGCUGGAGAAUCCCUUGAGUUCAGGAGUUCUGGGCUAUAGUGCGCUAUACGGAUCAGGUGUCCGCACUAAGUUCGGCAUCGAUAUGGUGACCUCCCGGGAGCGGGGAACCACCAGGUUGCCUAAGGAGGGGUGAACCAGCCCAGGUCGGAAACAGAGCAGGUUAAUACUCCGGUGCUGAUCAGCAGUGGGACUAUGUCUGUGAAUAGCCACUGCACUGCAGCCUGGGCAACAUAGUGAGACCCUGCCUCU